RNAcentral lists this long non-coding RNA (307 nucleotides) under Phoenix dactylifera (date palm). Its description in RNAcentral is "long non-coding RNA (PDAC_LNC009564)". Lineage: Eukaryota; Viridiplantae; Streptophyta; Magnoliopsida; Arecales; Arecaceae. The record is from RNAcentral.
AGAUCGAUCGCUUGUGAUCGUUCGGGUGUGUGCUAUCUCUGUAAUCAGUUCAUCCUUAUUGAGAUUUGGAGCGGUGGAGGACGUAGGCUAUUUGUAGCCGAACCUCGUUACAUCUUUGUGUUUGCUUUGCUAUUUUCUUCCUUCUUCUUCCUUUGAUCUUUGAUAAUCCGUUGCGGUGCUCAAGUGUUUUACCCUACUGAUACUAAGGGGUAAUCUUUUGCCCUUCGUAGGCGGAGCGAAGAGGUGAUCCUUGAGUCCGGAGUCGAGGGAGCGAGAGAGUGCUUAUCCGUUUGUAUCUCUCUUGCUU